Long non-coding RNA from Manis pentadactyla (Chinese pangolin), 1502 nucleotides. RefSeq lists it as uncharacterized. The record is from RefSeq and is a predicted model, not a curated record. The transcript has 2 exons. NCBI's taxonomy places the organism in Eukaryota, Metazoa, Chordata, Mammalia, Pholidota, Manidae.
GCAAGAUAUAGAUAGAAAGCAUGAUUUAGAACUGUAAGAAGGCAGGUGUAGAUGAUCAGGUUUGUGCCUACAGACCAGGUAUUAAUCCAAGCUGAACAAGGGCAACAAAACAUCCACAGGUGUAGAAGAUUUCUCUCAAAACUGGGGGGGUGAGGUUCUAAGCCUCACCUCUGUUGGCCCCCAUUUUCUCACCUGAUGGCCCCCCUGUGACUGUGCCUGUCUUAGGUUGUUCCUCCUGUGAGGAAUCUUACCCGUCUCUGGCUAACCAGCCAUCUUCCGGGGCCAUACAGGGAGAUGUAAAGCUGGCGAGAGAGAAGUAGUGUUCUUUGAAAAUAUUAGCUUUUCACUUCUUUGCAGAUUUAUGCCCUGUGGCUUGCAGGCCCAGCGCUUGACUUGAAGUAUUUUUACUUCUUGGAAAAUUAUGGUAUUUGGUAAUUUCACGUAUAGGUACGAAUUCUAAUAAAGGGCUGUAAUUAGGAAGGAAGAAGAAAAGCUAUAGAAGUAGCAAACAGAAGAAAACAUGAGAAGAUUGAUUAAGUGUCAGACAGGGUUUUUCUAUUCAGUAUUCCCCUAUAACUCUAUUUCUCUAAUUUUCUAAUAAAACUCAUCAUCACUAAUUUCACUAGCAUUAAAAAAUAAAAGAGGGGGGCAUUCCCACUUAGGUGGAGAUGGGGUAGUCAAUGUUUGACUAAAACUAACUGUAGGUUUCAGCAUUCUAUGCCAAGAUGGCCAUCUGGCCUCUGUGUGUUCUAUUCUUCAGGACCACUGUCCUGAAUAGCUUCUGGAAAGUUUAUGUUCUCCUCCUUUCCGUGCUGCUUAGCAAAGGUUAGCUUAGCCAUUGGCAACAAUGCAAGCAAAAACAAAGCCAAUAGUAUAAUGGAGAUUAACAAAAUCAAGGUGGGUAAUAGAGGGAGCCAGCUUCAAAGGCCCCUGCUUUCUGGGGGGUCUUCCUCCAGCCCGCGUUUUGCUAAACAGCUUGAGUAGCAUGGCUCCCAGAAAUCCCUUAUCUGUGGUGUACCCUGGUGAGCCCUCAUGCUAUUUUUAUUCUUUAGGUGUAGCCACACUUGAAUGGCCAAUGUAUGCUGUUGGUGGUCAUGAUGUAUCAAGUUACCUAAAUACUGUAGAAAGAUGGGACCCUGAGGGAUGUCAGUGGAUUUACGUGGCAGUAUGUCAACUCCUAGAAGCACAGUUGGCAUUGCUGCAUUAAACGGCAACUUUAUUAAACCAUAGUUGACUAAUGUUGGGAGCCGGGCUAUGCCCCUUCCCACACUUGCUGAUGUGGCAGGAAUGGAGAACAAAGAACAUCCCGUUUAUGCAUCCCAGGAGGAACUGGAGGAGCCCUGCUGUGCCUACCUUUGCCCGGCUACCGCUGACGUCAAUACUGGGCUUGAUUGUCUAUUGGAUAAUGCUAUUUCCUGGAAUAGUGUGCCUUCUUUGCUGUAUAAAUACUCUGGACCCUAAUAAAGCUUUGUUGGCAACGCAUUGGAGUGUCAACCCUCUCA